This 1149-nucleotide ribosomal RNA is filed under the name Streptococcus gordonii. RNAcentral describes it as "bacterial SSU rRNA". It matches the Rfam family "Bacterial small subunit ribosomal RNA", at positions 69 to 1206 of the family's 1533-position model. The record is from RNAcentral. Lineage: Bacteria; Bacillati; Bacillota; Bacilli; Lactobacillales; Streptococcaceae.
ACCGUAGCUUGCUACACCAUAGACUGUGAGUUGCGAACGGGUGAGUAACGCGUAGGUAACCUGCCUGGUAGCGGGGGAUAACUAUUGGAAACGAUAGCUAAUACCGCAUAAUAUUAAUUAUUGCAUGAUAAUUGAUUGAAAGAUGCAAUUGCAUCACUACCAGAUGGACCUGCGUUGUAUUAGCUAGUAGGUGAGGUAACGGCUCACCUAGGCGACGAUACAUAGCCGACCUGAGAGGGUGAUCGGCCACACUGGGACUGAGACACGGCCCAGACUCCUACGGGAGGCAGCAGUAGGGAAUCUUCGGCAAUGGACGAAAGUCUGACCGAGCAACGCCGCGUGAGUGAAGAAGGUUUUCGGAUCGUAAAGCUCUGUUGUAAGAGAAGAACGGGUGUGAGAGUGGAAAGUUCACACUGUGACGGUAUCUUACCAGAAAGGGACGGCUAACUACGUGCCAGCAGCCGCGGUAAUACGUAGGUCCCGAGCGUUGUCCGGAUUUAUUGGGCGUAAAGCGAGCGCAGGCGGUUAGAUAAGUCUGAAGUUAAAGGCUGUGGCUUAACCAUAGUACGCUUUGGAAACUGUUUAACUUGAGUGCAGAAGGGGAGAGUGGAAUUCCAUGUGUAGCGGUGAAAUGCGUAGAUAUAUGGAGGAACACCGGUGGCGAAAGCGGCUCUCUGGUCUGUAACUGACGCUGAGGCUCGAAAGCGUGGGGAGCGAACAGGAUUAGAUACCCUGGUAGUCCACGCCGUAAACGAUGAGUGCUAGGUGUUAGGCCCUUUCCGGGGCUUAGUGCCGCAGCUAACGCAUUAAGCACUCCGCCUGGGGAGUACGACCGCAAGGUUGAAACUCAAAGGAAUUGACGGGGGCCCGCACAAGCGGUGGAGCAUGUGGUUUAAUUCGAAGCAACGCGAAGAACCUUACCAGGUCUUGACAUCCCGAUGCCCGCUCUAGAGAUAGAGUUUUACUUCGGUACAUCGGUGACAGGUGGUGCAUGGUUGUCGUCAGCUCGUGUCGUGAGAUGUUGGGUUAAGUCCCGCAACGAGCGCAACCCUUAUUGUUAGUUGCCAUCAUUCAGUUGGGCACUCUAGCGAGACUGCCGGUAAUAAACCGGAAGGUGGGGAUGACGUCAAAUCAUCAUGCCUCCUUAUG